GACGAACGCUGGCGGCAGGCCUAACACAUGCAAGUCGAACGCGAAAGGGACUUCGGUCCUUAGUAGAGUGGCGCACGGGUGAGUAACGCGUGGGAACGUACCCUGGAGUAGGGAAUAACCAUUGGAAACGAUGGUUAAUACCGCAUAAUGUCUUCGGACCAAAGAUUUAUCGCUCUUGGAUCGGCCCGCGUUAGAUUAGUUUGUUGGUGGGGUAAUGGCCUACCAAGACUACGAUCUAUAGCUGGUUUGAGAGGACGACCAGCCACACUGGGACUGAGACACGGCCCAGACUCCUACGGGAGGCAGCAGUGGGGAAUAUUGGACAAUGGGCGCAAGCCUGAUCCAGCCAUGCCGCGUGAGCGAUGAAGGCCUUAGGGUUGUAAAGCUCUUUCAACGGUGAAGAUGAUGACGGUAACCGUAGAAGAAGCCCCGGCUAACUUCGUGCCAGCAGCCGCAGUAA
This 460-nucleotide ribosomal RNA is filed under the name uncultured bacterium. RNAcentral describes it as "partial 16S ribosomal RNA". It matches the Rfam family "Bacterial small subunit ribosomal RNA", at positions 28 to 523 of the family's 1533-position model. The record is from RNAcentral.